This 349-nucleotide ribosomal RNA is filed under the name uncultured Oscillospiraceae bacterium. RNAcentral describes it as "partial 16S ribosomal RNA". Lineage: Bacteria; Bacillati; Bacillota; Clostridia; Eubacteriales; Oscillospiraceae. The record is from RNAcentral.
GGAGUCUGGGCCGUGUCUCAGUCCCAAUGUGGCCGUUCAACCUCUCAGUCCGGCUACUGAUCAUCGACUUGGUAGGCCAUCACCCCACCAACAAUCUAAUCAGACGCGAGCCCAUCUCACAGCGAUAAAUCUUUGAUAUGCAUUCUUAUGAACACAUAUAUUAUGAGGUAUUAGCAACUGUUUCCAACUGUUAUCCCUCUCUGCAAGGCAGGUUACUCACGCGUUACUCACCCGUCCGCCACUAAGAAAUGCCUUAACUACCCCGAAGGAUUGAAAAAAACACUCUCCGUUCGACUUGCAUGUGUUAAGCGCGCCGCCAGCGUCGUCCUCGAGCCAUGAUCAAACUACU